This 216-nucleotide long non-coding RNA is filed under the name Manihot esculenta (cassava). RNAcentral's name for it is "long non-coding RNA (MESC_LNC009347)". The record is from RNAcentral. Lineage: Eukaryota; Viridiplantae; Streptophyta; Magnoliopsida; Malpighiales; Euphorbiaceae.
UCACGAUGGACAAAAAUACACAAAAAGAAAGAAGAAAAGAGGAAGAAAGCUGCUGCCGAAUUUCUGCAGAAAUUGUGAUGCCCCUUGCUAGUUUGUGGCUAUCCCUCUUUAUAGGUGAAGAAUCCUAAUCCAAUUAGGAUUUAGAAUCCUAAUUUGACUUGGUCUUUUGGAGUCUUUUAUUCCUUCUUUGCCUUUGUAUUUAAUCAUGAAUAAAUC